UACGUAGGGACCAAGCGUUGUUCGGAUUUACUGGGCGUAAAGGGCGCGUAGGCGGCUUGGUAAGUCACUUGUGAAAUCUCUGAGCUUAACUCAGAACGGCCAAGUGAUACUGCAGUGCUAGAGUGUGGAAGGGGCAAUCGGAAUUCUUGGUGUAGCGGUGAAAUGCGUAGAUAUCAAGAGGAACACCUGAGGUGAAGACGGGUUGCUGGGCCAACACUGACGCUGAGGCGCGAAAGCCAGGGGAGCAAACGGG
RNAcentral lists this ribosomal RNA (253 nucleotides) under uncultured bacterium. RNAcentral's name for it is "partial 16S ribosomal RNA". It matches the Rfam family "Bacterial small subunit ribosomal RNA", at positions 524 to 776 of the family's 1533-position model. The record is from RNAcentral.